Molecule: ribosomal RNA, 589 nt
Filed under: uncultured Cladosporium
Lineage: Eukaryota; Fungi; Ascomycota; Dothideomycetes; Cladosporiales; Cladosporiaceae
Description: eukaryotic LSU rRNA
Rfam family: 5.8S ribosomal RNA (bases 225-378)
Source: RNAcentral
CUUGGUCAUUUAGAGGAAGUAAAAGUCGUAACAAGGUCUCCGUAGGUGAACCUGCGGAGGGAUCAUUACAGGUGACCCCGGUCUAACCACCGGGAUGUUCAUAACCCUUUGUUGUCCGACUCUGUUGCCUCCGGGGCGACCCUGCCUUCGGGCGGGGGCUCCGGGUGGACACUUCAAACUCUUGCGUAACUUUGCAGUCUGAGUAAACUUAAUUAAUAAAUUAAAACUUUUAACAACGGAUCUCUUGGUUCUGGCAUCGAUGAAGAACGCAGCGAAAUGCGAUAAGUAAUGUGAAUUGCAGAAUUCAGUGAAUCAUCGAAUCUUUGAACGCACAUUGCGCCCCCUGGUAUUCCGGGGGGCAUGCCUGUUCGAGCGUCAUUUCACCACUCAAGCCUCGCUUGGUAUUGGGCAACGCGGUCCGCCGCGUGCCUCAAAUCGACCGGCUGGGUCUUCUGUCCCCUAAGCGUUGUGGAAACUAUUCGCUAAAGGGUGCUCGGGAGGCUACGCCGUAAAACAAACCCAUUUCUAAGGUUGACCUCGGAUCAGGUAGGGAUACCCGCUGAACUUAAGCAUAUCAAUAAGCGGAGGA